This is a non-coding RNA of Plutella xylostella (diamondback moth), 1263 nucleotides long. The record is from RefSeq and is a predicted model, not a curated record. Lineage: Eukaryota; Metazoa; Arthropoda; Insecta; Lepidoptera; Plutellidae.
UACUUAAGUAGGUAGCCGGUCCGGAUAUCGCGAAUACAUUAUAUUAUUAUGUAGGUAGGUAUAAGCCAAUAUGAAACGGCACCCACAGCCUGCAGAGGCAUAAAAUAUUUUUUCAGUAUCCGGGCGCGACCCGUUCAGUGUGCCCGCGUCAUCCCGCCAGCCAUGCGUAGAUAACGGGACGAGGCGGCGCCCGCGCACCUACGCCCGGAUACCGAACACCCCACGAACAGCUAGCAACAGGCAACAACUAACAUUAAACACCAGUGGAUAGGUGGACUAGUGAUACAUAAAUGCCUAAAGUUCGUUUCAUUAUGAUAUUAAGGCAGCGUCGACCCAAAAAAGAGGGGCAAUUUAAGCAGCAGACCAACGGAAAAAGAAAUCCAGAAAAACCAGAUGUUAUGAUGCUCAGGUGAUGGUCCACCCACCUCGUGCAGCCUGCAGCUAAGCAGUCUGGAGCCGAGUCACAGCCACGGAACACCGAGCCUUGCUGUGCGUGAAUACUUAUGAAGUCACGAAGGGGUGGUCUCAGCGUGUUCCAUAUGAAGCUGGCUGCAUAACGGAACGAGUGGCGAAACAUAGCGGUUUUGUGCUUCGGUGUGACCAUCAGAUAAGUGGACGCCCUAGUAUUAAUUGAGUGAUAGUCGCGUGACCAUGCAAGUUUGUUGAAUAGGUACUGGGGUGAUUUGUACUUUAUAACUCCAAACAGAAGCGCAGCAAGGUGCAGCCGCUGUCUGGCGGCUACCUUCAGUAGCCCGCAAGAGUUGAGAUAAGGGGUAACAUGGGAGCGGGGGGGGAUGUCCAUACAAAAUCUAAUACAGGCGUUUUGUACCCUUUGCAGUAGUUUAUCAGUUUUUCUUAAAAGGCAUGGGCCAUAUACAGUGUCAGCAUAAUUUAAUUUGGAAAGAACAAGCGACUCACAUAACUGUAUUCGCAGAUUAACAUCAAUGUAACGUCUUUUUUAUAAAGUGUCUUAAGUCUGAAGAAGCAGUUUUUGACCAUUUCAGUUACGUGUUUUUCAAACCGUAAAUAAUUGUCGAAUGUUAGGCCUAGGUUACGAGCUUCGGUUACCUGUUCAAUAUCUACUCCUGCUAGUUUUAUAUUAGGGUUAUUGUUAUUAGUAGUUUGAACUUGUUUCCUUGUGCCGAUUACAAUAUAUUUUGAUUUGUCAGGGUUUAGCUUUAAAAAAUUUUUGUUCGACCAAGUUGAAAUACGAUCCAAGUCAUGGUUUAUAAGAUCACAAGUAUUAUUAACGUCAGAUGGGGG